Molecule: long non-coding RNA, 1860 nt
Organism: Pseudomyrmex gracilis
Lineage: Eukaryota; Metazoa; Arthropoda; Insecta; Hymenoptera; Formicidae
Exons: 4
Source: RefSeq, a predicted model, not a curated record
GAGUUGAAGACUUCUCUCCGCCGUGGUAUUACGUGGUAUACGCAUGACUAAUACGAAAUAACGGUUGGUUGUGCGUAGUUACGUUAUAAAUAGUUAAUAAUAGUUAUAAUAGUUUUGCACAUAUUGGUGCAUUUCACGCCUGUCCAGGUUGUAGUACGUGGGUUACGUAUCUACACUUUUAAGAAAAUCUCGAGCAGGGGCAAAGUGCUAUCGAAGCAAAGAAAGAAGAAAAAAAGAAGAAGAAGAAGAAGAAUUUCUGAGUUUAUUUUGCGGAAGACAAUUGGUAUCUUCAACCAUGGCCAGUGAUGAAAAUAACUUUNAUAGAGAGUUGCAUGAAUUAUCUUUAACAGAAAACGAAGAAUUGAAAAAACUACAAGAACAAGUUCUUUUUCUACAAAACAAAAUAAAAGAACUUGUAGAAAAAGAUCAACAAAUGGAUAUACAAAAAGCAGGAUCUUCAACUCAAGAACAUGAUCCAGAAUCAAAAAAUAAAACAAACAUUCCAAAAAGAUGGGCCAGCGCAGGAAAAACUCGAGCUUUUUAUAAUCGUGGUCGUGGUCGUGGUCGUGGUCGUGGUCGUGGUCAUGGCCGUGGACGUGGAGGUGGCCGUACAAUAAUCCAAUAUUAUUAAAUGUGGAACUCGUCGGAGAAAAAGUUUGACUUCAAUAGACCUAUCAUCAACAGAUCCUUAUAUAUUAAUCAUUUAAAUAUAUCCUUUAAAUUUAAGGGGAUCCUAAAGUGACGGUCGAACCUCGUCGUUUUAUCGAAUUUGGCAUCGUAGUGAUAUUCACUUAAUAAAAAGUUAUGCAGUUUCUACGUAAAACACAAACUGCAUCUUGGUUUCGGGAAACAUAAAGAACAAUAUAGAACUCUCAGAAAUGUGUUUAGAAGCUUACUAUAAAUAAAUAAUGUGCUGGAAAUAUUCCAAUAUUCUUCUGACCAGCACACUAUUUAUUCAUACUAGGCUUCUAAACGCAUUUCUGAAAGCUCUAUAUUGUUCUUUAUGUUGUCUCGAAGCUAAGAUGCACUUUGUUUUCUAUCUACGUACAAACUGCAUAAUUUUGUAUAUUAAAAUACUACGAUCUAACGCCAAAUAAAAAAACAGAUCUACUUUAGGAUCCCCUUAAAAGUCAUGAUUUCAAUAUGUUUAUAUAUUAUUAAAUUAGUUUUUUUUGUUUAUAUGACAAACAAAGCGAUAAUAGAGAGUUUGCCAUAAACGCAUAACGUAUCUUCACGUUAUAAGACAACGUUAUAGGACGAAGUAUCACACAUACAUACCACAUUUCAUAAGAUAAAGAAGAGAUGCAUAUUGAAGAAUAUUCGCAAUAUGUUAUUAAAAAAUAAAACAUAGUAUAUUUCAUUAUCACACGUAAGCGACAAGUAAUUACAAGUAAUUAUCUAUGUAUAAAUUUUUUUUUUAAAGUUAAUAUUAUCCGCCUGUAUAACGUUUCCUUUUAUAAGAUUAAAGAAGAAGGGAUGUAUAUUGAAUAUUCGCGAUAUGUUAUUGAAUAUUUAUUUAAAAAGAUAACACUUAUGUGACUAAAACAGUAUAUUUCAUCACACGUAAGCGACAAAUAAAUUUUGGUUUUAUAAUUACAGACUGCUACUUGCCACUAAGUGUUAAUUUAAAAAGCCAUCCGAAAAGUCAUUGUAUAUUUUUUGAAGGCAUAAUAAUUUACAAGUUAAUAUUAUUCGCCUGUAUAACGUUUUCAAUCACAUUUUUAAAAUAUACAGUUUUGCAAUAAAAUUAUUCUUUUUUGUACCUUUUAUAACAUAGUCGUCUUCGUCAAAUUUAUCAACAAUACAUUGGUAAACAAUAUUGAGUAGUAGUGGACAAUAUUGGGAAUGGUAGUUUCUGAA